This 114-nucleotide ribosomal RNA is filed under the name uncultured bacterium. Its description in RNAcentral is "partial 16S ribosomal RNA". It matches the Rfam family "Bacterial small subunit ribosomal RNA", at positions 1369 to 1482 of the family's 1533-position model. The record is from RNAcentral.
CGUUCCCGGGCCUUGUACACACCGCCCGUCACGUCAUGAAAGUUGGUAACACCUGAAGCCGGUAGGCUAACCGUAAGGGGGCAGCCGUCGAGGGUGGGACCAGCGAUUGGGACG